GCCCAGCUUGCUGGGUACUCGAGUGGCGAACGGGUGAGUAACACGUGGGUGAUCUGCCCUGCACUCUGGGAUAAGCCUGGGAAACUGGGUCUAAUACCGGAUAUGACCAACUGUCGCAUGGUGGUUGGUGGAAAGCUUUUGCGGUGUGGGAUGGGCCCGCGGCCUAUCAGCUUGUUGGUGGGGUAAUGGCCUACCAAGGCGACGACGGGUAGCCGACCUGAGAGGGUGAUCGGCCACACUGGGACUGAGACACGGCCCAGACUCCUACGGGAGGCAGCAGUGGGGAAUAUUGCACAAUGGGCGCAAGCCUGAUGCAGCGACGCCGCGUGAGGGAUGACGGCCUUCGGGUUGUAAACCUCUUUCACCAGGGACGAAGCGGAAGUGACGGUACCUGGAGAAGAAGCACCGGCCAACUACGUGCCAGCAGCCGCGGUAAUACGUAGGGUGCGAGCGUUGUCCGGAAUUACUGGGCGUAAAGAGCUCGUAGGCGGUUUGUCGCGUCGUCUGUGAAAUUCUGCAACUCAAUUGCAGGCGUGCAGGCGAUACGGGCAGACUUGAGUACUACAGGGGAGACUGGAAUUCCUGGUGUAGCGGUGAAAUGCGCAGAUAUCAGGAGGAACACCGGUGGCGAAGGCGGGUCUCUGGGUAGUAACUGACGCUGAGGAGCGAAAGCGUGGGUAGCGAACAGGAUUAGAUACCCUGGUAGUCCACGCCGUAAACGGUGGGUACUAGGUGUGGGUUCCUUUUCA
RNAcentral lists this ribosomal RNA (749 nucleotides) under Gordonia sp. (in: high G+C Gram-positive bacteria). RNAcentral describes it as "bacterial SSU rRNA". It matches the Rfam family "Bacterial small subunit ribosomal RNA", at positions 73 to 836 of the family's 1533-position model. The record is from RNAcentral. Lineage: Bacteria; Bacillati; Actinomycetota; Actinomycetes; Mycobacteriales; Gordoniaceae.